AUUGAACGCUGGCGGAAUGCUUUACACAUGCAAGUCGAACGGCAGCACGGGUGCUUGCACCUGGUGGCGAGUGGCGAACGGGUGAGUAAUGCACCGGAACGUAUCCAAUAAUGGGGGAUAACGCACCGAAAGGUGUGCUAAUACCGCAUACGCCCUGAGGGGGAAAGCGGGGGAUCGUAAGACCUCGCGUUAAUGGAGCGGCCGAUGCCGGAUUAGCUAGUUGGUGAGGUAAAGGCUCACCAAGGCGACGAUCCGUAGCUGGUCUGAGAGGACGACCAGCCACACUGGAACUGAGACACGGUCCAGACUCCUACGGGAGGCAGCAGUGGGGAAUUUUGGACAAUGGGCGCAAGCCUGAUCCAGCCAUUCCGCGUGAGUGAAGAAGGCCUUCGGGUU
Molecule: ribosomal RNA, 396 nt
Filed under: uncultured bacterium
Lineage: Bacteria
Description: bacterial SSU rRNA
Rfam family: Bacterial small subunit ribosomal RNA
Source: RNAcentral